Molecule: long non-coding RNA, 1191 nt
Organism: Tripterygium wilfordii
Lineage: Eukaryota; Viridiplantae; Streptophyta; Magnoliopsida; Celastrales; Celastraceae
Exons: 5
Source: RefSeq, a predicted model, not a curated record
GUAAGUGUAGGCGUGAUUUGGCGGCGAGUUCCCUCCUCACUUUGUACUCUCGCGUGUGGAUGUAUAUAUCUUCAAACGUACCGUUGGAUUGCUUUCUUUCUUCUAAUAGAUGGCUAUGAUGGGCAGUUGCUUUUCAUUUGUUUGUUUAUAUAGUUUUGUCUUUUUUGGUCCCAGUUUGUGCACGUGUCAACGCAAGGGUAGUAAACAUCUGAAAUCUGGUGCAUGCACCUGCUUUUACUUCGCCUGAGGCCUUGCUUUUCUUGGGUUCAUGCAUGGGGAUUGGAGUCUUGCUUUCUUCUCCCCUCCCAAUACAACUCAGCGACCCAUCGUUGAUCUUCUUGGGUUCAUCGUUCAUCUUUGCAAUUCUUUGCUCUUUUCAUGUUGGGUGAUUAGAUCCACUCAUCUGGUGCGUUUCUGUGGUUUUUUCCCAGGUCAUCGAUUACAUGGGCACAUGCGAGCCUGAUUUGACUCAGGCAUAUCUCGGAUCUCCGUCGAUUCUCCCGCGUUCCAUGGAAUUGCACCUUCGAUUUCGUCCGUUGUCAAGAAGUGAAUAAGAGGAGUGAAGAAGGGUGCAACGCUACACUGAUUUAUGUAAACGAUCUAUUCAACUGAGUGAAGAAGGAUUAUUAUCUGAAGAGAGUUAUACUAUAGCACUAUCAAUCAUGCUCUUUCUAUUUGUGAAGCAGAAUACAGUCGGGAAAAGGAAGGUUAGCCUAACAGUUGAAAAAUUCAAUAUCAUGUGGUUGCAACUGUAAGGAGUAGAGCUCUAACUAAUAUCUCCAAAGAUCAUUAUGCUUUGAUGUUGGUGGUGGAAACUCAGCAGCUUCUCAUUCAACCAAGUGCGGCGUAUCGGUUUCUCUCACAUAAUUGAAUUAUCAUUUCCUUUGACAUUUUAGGGGGCUUGCGUGGAGGACUAGGUUAACUUUUCAAUGGCCACUACAGGACACAACCGAAUGCUUUGACCAAUUUUCCAAUUGACAAGGGGCUAGGAUAAACUUCAAUAUAAGUUCCCUCUCUAUUUGUUCUGUAUUUCAAAGUGCAUUUUGUGGUAUUGUUUAAGUCCUCCAUUUUUAUUAUUGUUAUCCUUUGCAAACUCUAAAAGAUUUUUCACUACGAUUAUUGUACAAGUACAAAGAUAAUGAUAUGUUAUAAACAGAGUGGAAUAAACUAAAGAUAUGAAGUUUACAUGAA